GGAUCGAUGAUGACUCCCUAAAAUGCAUUCCUUGGAAAUCUGAACAAAAUGAGUGACAAUCCCUACCGUCGUCCUCAUCGGAACUGAGGUCC
Small nucleolar RNA from Mustela putorius furo (domestic ferret), 92 nucleotides. Its record names the gene SNORD116. It matches the Rfam family "Small nucleolar RNA SNORD116". Rfam says of the family: HBII-85 is a member of the C/D class of snoRNAs, which contain the C (UGAUGA) and D (CUGA) box motifs. The record is from Ensembl. NCBI's taxonomy places the organism in Eukaryota, Metazoa, Chordata, Mammalia, Carnivora, Mustelidae.